GUGCAUGUUUUGGAUUUAAUUGAUCCGGUGUAACUUUAAAACACAUUUAUUGAUUAUUUUCUGAUAAUGUACAUUUUUCAGCACCUGUUUGUAACACAGAUUAGUAUUUCAAACUCGGAGCGGACAUUUUAUUGUAGGUUUUUACUGAGAUUUACGGACCUAGCAAGCUAUUUUUACGGCAUUGCCAUUUCUUUUCUCUAGGAAAAGCUUUGAGAGAUAUCUGCACCAAGUUUUUUUUAUAAACGUUUAGUACAUGUAUGCCCUGCUGACUGCAAAUUUUGAGGUCGAUUGUACUUGUAGUUUCAGAGAACAUGUGGAUUUUUUUUUCAGAAGUGACGUAAGAACAAUAUUAAAUUUCAAUUUUUCUUGAAUAAUUGAGAGUUUGUUCCUUCAAUAAACUGUCAUGAUUAAACAGUCAUACAGAUUGAUUGAUUGAUUGAUUGAUUGAUUGAUUGAUUAGUUGGUUAGUUGGUUGGUUGGUUGGUUGAUUGGUUGGUUGGUUAAACACGUUGGAUAGGGUCAAUUGAAACACGGAAAAAGAAACAAAGAAGAUCUUGGACCCUAUAUUAAACACAUGAGACGGAAACAUGAUUGAUUGAUCAUGAUCAUGAUUGAUUGAUUGAUUGAUUGAUUGAUUAAUUGAUUAGUUGGUUGGUUGGUUGGUUGGUUAAACACGUUAGAUAGGGUAAAUUGAAACACGGAAAAAGAAACAAAGAAGAUCUUGGACCCUAUAUUAAACACAUGAGACGGAAACAUGAUUGAUUGAUCAUGAUCAUGAUUGAUUGAUUGAUUGAUUGAUUGAUUGAUUGAUUGAUUAGUUGGUUGGUUGGUUGGUUGGUUGGUUAAACACAUUGGAUAGGGUCAAUUGAAACACGGAAAAAGACACAAAGAAGAUCUUGGACCCUAUAUUAAACACAUGAGACGGA
This 926-nucleotide long non-coding RNA is filed under the name Mytilus galloprovincialis (Mediterranean mussel). The record is from RNAcentral. Lineage: Eukaryota; Metazoa; Mollusca; Bivalvia; Mytilida; Mytilidae.